Molecule: non-coding RNA, 111 nt
Organism: Trichocladium antarcticum
Lineage: Eukaryota; Fungi; Ascomycota; Sordariomycetes; Sordariales; Chaetomiaceae
Source: the annotation of a GenBank genome assembly
GCGAGGUUGGCUCAGUUGGUAGAGCGUGAGUCUCAUAUUAGUACAAUAUGACUGGUUGGGUUAACCCUCUAGGACAUCUCAAGGUCGUGAGUUCGAGCCUCACACUUCGCA